UUGAACGCUGGCGGAAUGCUUUACACAUGCAAGUCGAGCGGCAGCGCGGGGCAACCUGGCGGCGAGCGGCGAACGGGUGAGUAAUAUAUCGGAACGUACCCUGUCGUGGGGGACAACACAUCGAAAGAUGUGCUAAUACCGCAUACGACCUGAGGGUGAAAGCGGGGGAUUCGCAAGAACCUCGCGUUAUUGGAGUGGCCUAGGCCUGAUUAGCUAGUUGGUGAGGUAAAGGCUCACCAAGGCGACGAUCAGUAGCUGGUCUGAGAGGAUGAUCAGCCACACUGGAACUGAGACACGGUCCAGACUCCUACGGGAGGCAGCAGUGGGGAAUUUUGGACAAUGGGGGAAACCCUGAUCCAGCCAGUCCGCGGGAGUGAAGAAGGCCUUCGGGUUGUAAAGCUCUUUCAGGAGGGAAGAAACGGUUGCGGCUAAUACCCGCGACUAAUGACGGUACCUUCAGAAGAAGCACCGGCUAACUACG
This 481-nucleotide ribosomal RNA is filed under the name uncultured bacterium. Its description in RNAcentral is "bacterial SSU rRNA". It matches the Rfam family "Bacterial small subunit ribosomal RNA", at positions 30 to 505 of the family's 1533-position model. The record is from RNAcentral.